GUUCUCAGUUCGGACUGUAGGCUGCAACUCGCCUACACGAAGUCGGAAUCGCUGGUAAUCGCGGAUCAGCAUGCCGCGGUGAAUACGUUCCCGGGCCUUGUACACACCGCCCGUCACACCAUGGGAGUUUGUAACGCCCAAAGUCGGUGGCCUAACCUUUAUGGAGGGAGCCGCCUAAGGCGGGACAGAUGACUGGGGUGAAGUCGUAACAAGGUAUC
RNAcentral lists this ribosomal RNA (218 nucleotides) under uncultured bacterium. RNAcentral's name for it is "partial 16S ribosomal RNA". It matches the Rfam family "Bacterial small subunit ribosomal RNA", at positions 1284 to 1500 of the family's 1533-position model. The record is from RNAcentral.